RNAcentral lists this ribosomal RNA (613 nucleotides) under Escherichia coli. RNAcentral describes it as "partial 23S ribosomal RNA". It matches the Rfam family "Bacterial large subunit ribosomal RNA", at positions 1 to 644 of the family's 2925-position model. The record is from RNAcentral. Lineage: Bacteria; Pseudomonadati; Pseudomonadota; Gammaproteobacteria; Enterobacterales; Enterobacteriaceae.
GGGUUGUGAGGUUAAGCGACUAAGCGUACACGGUGGAUGCCCUGGCAGUCAGAGGCGAUGAAGGACGUGCUAAUCUGCGAUAAGCGUCGGUAAGGUGAUAUGAACCGUUAUAACCGGCGAUUUCCGAAUGGGGAAACCCAGUGUGUUUCGACACACUAUCAUUAACUGAAUCCAUAGGUUAAUGAGGCGAACCGGGGGAACUGAAACAUCUAAGUACCCCGAGGAAAAGAAAUCAACCGAGAUUCCCCCAGUAGCGGCGAGCGAACGGGGAGGAGCCCAGAGCCUGAAUCAGUGUGUGUGUUAGUGGAAGCGUCUGGAAAGGCGCGCGAUACAGGGUGACAGCCCCGUACACAAAAAUGCACAUGCUGUGAGCUCGAUGAGUAGGGCGGGACACGUGGUAUCCUGUCUGAAUAUGGGGGGACCAUCCUCCAAGGCUAAAUACUCCUGACUGACCGAUAGUGAACCAGUACCGUGAGGGAAAGGCGAAAAGAACCCCGGCGAGGGGAGUGAAAAAGAACCUGAAACCGUGUACGUACAAGCAGUGGGAGCAUGCUUAGGCGUGUGACUGCGUACCUUUUGUAUAAUGGGUCAGCGACUUAUAUUCUGUAGCAAG